UCAGUUGUGAAAGUUUGCGGCUCAACCGUAAAAUUGCAGUUGAUACUGGGUGUCUUGAGUACAGUAGAGGCAGGCGGAAUUCGUGGUGUAGCGGUGAAAUGCUUAGAUAUCACGAAGAACUCCGAUUGCGAAGGCAGCUUGCUGGACUGUAACUGACGCUGAUGCUCGAAAGUGUGGGUAUCAAACAGGAUUAGAUACCCUGGUAGUCCACACAGUAAACGAUGAAUACUCGCUGUUUGCGAUAUACAGUAAGCGGCCAAGCGAAAGCGUUAAGUAUUCCACCUGGGGAGUACGCCGGCAACGGUGAAACUCAAAGGAAUUGACGGGGGCCCGCACAAGCGGAGGAACAUGUGGUUUAAUUCGAUGAUACGCGAGGAACCUUACCCGGGCUUGAAUUGCAACUGAAUGAUGUGGAGACAUGUCAGCCGCAAGGCAGUUGUGAAGGUGCUGCAUGGUUGUCGUCAA
RNAcentral lists this ribosomal RNA (465 nucleotides) under uncultured bacterium. Its description in RNAcentral is "bacterial SSU rRNA". It matches the Rfam family "Bacterial small subunit ribosomal RNA", at positions 588 to 1058 of the family's 1533-position model. The record is from RNAcentral.